AAUAUUUGAAAAUGGGCGAAAGCCUGAUCCAGCCAUGCCGCGUGUGUGAAGAAGGUCUUCGGAUUGUAACGCACUUUAAGUUGGGAGGAAGGGUUGUAGGUUAAUACCCUGCACUUUUGACGUUACCAACAGAAUAAGAACCGGCUAACUACGUGCCAGCAGCCGCGGUAAUACGUAGGGUGCAAGCGUUAAUCGGAAUUACUGGGCGUAAAGCGCGCGUAGGUGGUUCGUUAAGUUGGAAGUGAAAGCCCCGGGCUUAACCUGGGAAUUGCUUUCAAAACUGACGAGCUAGAGUACGGUAGAGGGUAGUGGAAUUUCCUGUGUAGCGGUGAAAUGCGUAGAUAUAGGAAGGAACACCAGUGGCGAAGGCGACCACCUGGGCUAAUACUGACACUGAGGUGCGAAAGCGUGGGGAGCAAACA
RNAcentral lists this ribosomal RNA (422 nucleotides) under uncultured bacterium. RNAcentral describes it as "partial 16S ribosomal RNA". It matches the Rfam family "Bacterial small subunit ribosomal RNA", at positions 360 to 774 of the family's 1533-position model. The record is from RNAcentral.